Molecule: ribosomal RNA, 1005 nt
Filed under: Triticum aestivum (bread wheat)
Lineage: Eukaryota; Viridiplantae; Streptophyta; Magnoliopsida; Poales; Poaceae
Description: partial small subunit ribosomal RNA
Source: RNAcentral
AUGCAUCGUCUCUUCAACAUGAGCGACCUCGGGCUGCUCCGGUACUACCUCGGUCUAGAGGUAAACCAGGAGGGUGGUCGCAUCACGAUCACGCAGACGGCCUACGCCACCAAGAUGCUCGAGCGAGCAGGCAUGAAGGACUGCUAUGUUGUGCAUGCUCCAAUGGAGGCACGGCUGAAGCUCAGCAAGGAUAGCUCCGAGAAGGCGGUGGAUGCUACACUCUACCGCAGCAUCAUCAGGAGCCUCAGGUACCUCGUGCACACCCGACCGGACAUCACGUUCGUUGUCGGGUACCUGAGUAAAUUCAUGGAAGCCCCGGCAAGCGAUCACCUCGCUGCCGUUAAGCACCUGCUCCGGUACAUCGCAGGUACACUCAUGCAUGGAUGCGUGUAUCGUCGUGGCGACGACGAGAGCUUGGUCGGAUACAGCGACUCCGACCAUGCUGGUGACGUGGAAUCUCAGAAGAGCACCUCGGGCAUACUGUUCCUUCUCGGGAAUAGUCCAGUCAGUUGGCAAUCGGCGAGGCAGAAGGUUGUCGCUGCAUCUUCGUGUGAGGCGGAGUACAUAGCGGGAGCUACAGCGGCCUGUCAAGGCAUUUGGCUUGCUCGCCUUCUUGGCGAGAUGCUGAAUCAGAACACCGCCCCUGCGCUCAUCUUCAUCGACAACAAGUCGGCGAUUUCGCUCUGCAAGAAUCCAGUGCUUCAUGACCACAACAAGCACAUCGAUCUGCGCUAUCACUUCAUACGUGACUGCGUCGAGAAAGGCACGGUGAUCGUGGAGUUCAUCAGGACUGGUGAGCAGAAGGCGGACAUCCUGACCAAGUCACUUGGUCGCGUCCAGUUCCAAGAACUGCGCGGCAAAGUCAGGCUCAUGGAUAUCAAGCUCCUUCGACAAGGUCGAGGGGGAGAUUGUUGGGUCAACCAUAGUCUUCGGUUGCAUGCACGCAGCAGCAGUAGCUUCCUUGGCUUGAAAGGAAGUGGUAUUCACCUAGUAGUUUCCUGGUAG